CCUACGGGUGGCAGCAGUGGGGGAUAUUGCACAAUGGGCGCAAGCCUGAUGCAGCGACACCGCGUGAGCGAAGAAGUAUUUCGGUAUGUAAAGCUCUAUCAGCAGGGAAGAAAAUGACGGUACCUGACUAAGAAGCUCCGGCUAAAUACGUGCCAGCAGCCGCGGUAAUACGUAUGGCGGCAGCGUUAUCCGGAUUUAUUGGGUUUAAAGGGUGCGUAGGCGGAAUAUCAAGUCAGCGGUAAAAAGUCGGGGCUCAACCCCGUCGUGCCGUUGAAACUGAUGUUCUUGAGUGGGCGAGAAGUAUGCGGAAUGCGUGGUGUAGCGGUGAAAUGCAUAGAUAUCACGCAGAACUCCGAUUGCGAAGGCAGCAUACCGGCGCCCAACUGACGCUGAAGCACGAAAGCGUGGGGAUCGAACAGGAUUAGAUACCCCGGUAGUC
This 439-nucleotide ribosomal RNA is filed under the name uncultured bacterium. RNAcentral describes it as "partial 16S ribosomal RNA". It matches the Rfam family "Bacterial small subunit ribosomal RNA", at positions 338 to 795 of the family's 1533-position model. The record is from RNAcentral.